RNAcentral lists this ribosomal RNA (459 nucleotides) under uncultured bacterium. RNAcentral's name for it is "partial 16S ribosomal RNA". It matches the Rfam family "Bacterial small subunit ribosomal RNA", at positions 338 to 795 of the family's 1533-position model. The record is from RNAcentral.
CCUACGGGAGGCAGCAGUGAGGAAUAUUGGUCAAUGGGCGCGAGCCUGAACCAGCCAAGUCGCGUGAGGGAUGAAGGUUCUAUGGAUCGUAACCUCUUUUAUAAGGGAAUAAAGUGUGGGACGUGUCCUAUUUUGUAUGUACCUUAUGAAUAAGGAUCGGCUAACUCCGUGCCAGCAGCCGCGGUAAUACGGAGGAUCCGAGCGUUAUCCGGAUUUAUUGGGUUUACAGGGUGCGUAGGCGGCCUUUUAAGUCAGCGGUGAAAGUCUGUGGCGCAACCAUAGAAUUGCCGGUUAAACUGGGGGGAUUGAGGAUGUUUGAGGCAGGCGGAAUGCGUGGUGUAGCGGUGAAAUGCUUAGAUAGCACGCAGAACCCCGAUUGCGAAGGCAGCCUGCCAAGCCAUGACUGACGCUGAUGCACGAAAGCGUGGGGAUCAAACAGGAUUAGAUACCCGAGUAGUC